GGAGGGUUAUCGAAGUGGUCAUAACGGGGCUGACUCGAAAUCAGUUGUCCGGCUCAUACCGGACCAAGGGUUCGAAUCCCUUACCCUCCGCCA
RNAcentral lists this transfer RNA (93 nucleotides) under Ruminococcus sp. Its description in RNAcentral is "tRNA-Ser". It matches the Rfam family "tRNA". Rfam says of the family: Transfer RNA (tRNA) molecules are approximately 80 nucleotides in length. Their secondary structure includes four short double-helical elements and three loops (D, anti-codon, and T loops). Further hydrogen bonds mediate the characteristic L-shaped molecular structure. tRNAs have two regions of fundamental functional importance: the anti-codon, which is responsible for specific mRNA codon recognition, and the 3' end, to which the tRNAs corresponding amino acid is attached (by aminoacyl-tRNA synthetases). tRNAs cope with the degeneracy of the genetic code in two manners: having more than one tRNA (with a specific anti-codon) for a particular amino acid; and 'wobble' base-pairing, i.e. permitting non-standard base-pairing at the 3rd anti-codon position. Lineage: Bacteria; Bacillati; Bacillota; Clostridia; Eubacteriales; Oscillospiraceae. RNAcentral also lists the same sequence under 9 other names. The record is from RNAcentral.